GAGGAAUAUUGGUCAAUGGGCGAGAGCCUGAACCAGCCAAGUAGCGUGCAGGAAGACGGCCCUAUGGGUUGUAAACUGCUUUUGUAUGGGGAUAAAGUCAAUCACGUGUGAUUGUUUGCAGGUACCAUACGAAUAAGGACCGGCUAAUUCCGUGCCAGCAGCCGCGGUAAUACGGAAGGUUCGGGCGUUAUCCGGAUUUAUUGGGUUUAAAGGGAGCGUAGGCCGGAGAUUAAGUGUGUUGUGAAAUGUAGACGCUCAACGUCUGACUUGCAGCGCAUACUGGUUUCCUUGAGUACGCACAACGUUGGCGGAAUUCGUCGUGUAGCGGUGAAAUGCUUAGAUAUGACGAAGAACUCCGAUUGCGAAGGCAGCUGACGGGAGCGCAACUGACGCUGAAGCUCGAAGGUGCGGGUAUCGAACAGGAUUAGAUACCCUGGUAGUCCGCACAGUAAACGAUGGAUGCCCGCUGUUGGUACCUGGUAUCAGCGGCUAAGCGAAAGCAUUAAGCAUCCCACCUGGGGAGUACGCCGGCAACGGUG
RNAcentral lists this ribosomal RNA (539 nucleotides) under uncultured bacterium. RNAcentral describes it as "bacterial SSU rRNA". It matches the Rfam family "Bacterial small subunit ribosomal RNA", at positions 356 to 896 of the family's 1533-position model. The record is from RNAcentral.